UGGGGAAUAUUGGACAAUGGGCGCAAGCCUGAUCCAGCAAUGCCGCGUGUGUGAAGAAGGCCUUCGGGUUGUAAAGCACUUUUAUCAGGAGCGAAACGCUGUCGGCUAAUACCCGGCGGAACUGACGGUACCUGAGGAAUAAGCACCGGCUAACUUCGUGCCAGCAGCCGCGGUAAUACGAAGGGUGCAAGCGUUAAUCGGAAUUACUGGGCGCAAAGCGUGCGUAGGCGGUUUCUUAAGUCUGCUGUGAAAUCCCCGGGCUCAACCUGGGAAUGGCAGUGGAUACUGGGAGGCUAGAGUGUGUCAGAGGGUGGUGGAAUUCCCGGUGUAGCGGUGAAAUGCGUAGAGAUCGGGAGGAACAUCAGUGGCGAAGGCGGCCACCUGGGACAACACUGACGCUGAGGCACGAAAGCGUGGGGAGCAAACAGGAUUAGAUACCCUGGUAGUCCACGCCCUAAAACGAUGCGAACUGGAUGUUGGUCUCAACUCGGAGAUCAGUGUCGAAGCUAACGCGUUAAGUUCGCCGCCUGGGGAGUACGGUCGCAAGACUGAAACUCAAAUGAAUUGACGGGGUC
RNAcentral lists this ribosomal RNA (575 nucleotides) under uncultured bacterium. RNAcentral's name for it is "partial 16S ribosomal RNA". It matches the Rfam family "Bacterial small subunit ribosomal RNA", at positions 355 to 920 of the family's 1533-position model. The record is from RNAcentral.